This 1244-nucleotide ribosomal RNA is filed under the name Phytoplasma sp. BN-Fc24. RNAcentral's name for it is "bacterial SSU rRNA". It matches the Rfam family "Bacterial small subunit ribosomal RNA", at positions 153 to 1399 of the family's 1533-position model. The record is from RNAcentral. Lineage: Bacteria; Bacillati; Mycoplasmatota; Mollicutes; Acholeplasmatales; Acholeplasmataceae.
GAAACGACUGCUAAGACUGGAUAGGAGAUAAGAAGGCAUCUUCUUAUUUUUGAAAGACCUAGCAAUAGGUAUGCUUAGGGAAGAGCUUGCGUCACAUUAGUUAGUUGGUGGGGUAAUGGCCUACCAAGACGAUGAUGUGUAGCCGGGCUGAGAGGUCGAACGGCCACAUUGGGACUGAGACACGGCCCAAACUCCUACGGGAGGCAGCAGUAAGGAAUUUUCGGCAAUGGAGGAAACUCUGACCGAGCAAUGCCGCGUGAACGAUGAAGUAUUUCGGUACGUAAAGUUCUUUUAUUAGGGAAGAAAAGAUGGUGGAAAAACCAUUAUGACGGUACCUAAUGAAUAAGCCCCGGCUAACUAUGUGCCAGCAGCCGCGGUAAUACAUAGGGGGCAAGCGUUAUCCGGAAUUAUUGGGCGUAAAGGGUGCGUAGGCGGUUAAAUAAGUUUAUGGUCUAAGUGCAACGCUCAACGUUGUGAUGCUAUAAAAACUGUUUAGCUAGAGUUGGAUAGAGGCAAGUGGAAUUCCGUGUGUAGUGGUAAAAUGCGUAAAUAUACGGAGGAACACCAGAAGCGAAGGCGGCUCGCUGGGUCUUAACUGACGCUGAGGCACGAAAGCGUGGGGAGCAAACAGGAUUAGAUACCCUGGUAGUCCACGCCCUAAACGAUGAGUACUAAACGUUGGAUAAAACCAGUGUUGAAGUUAACACAUUAAGUACUCCGCCUGAGUAGUACGUACGCAAGUAUGAAACUUAAAGGAAUUGACGGGACUCCGCACAAGCGGUGGAUCAUGUUGUUUAAUUCGAAGGUACCCGAAAAACCUCACCAGGUCUUGACAUGCUUUUGCAAAGCUGUAGAAAUACAGUGGAGGUUAUCAGAAGCACAGGUGGUGCAUGGUUGUCGUCAGCUCGUGUCGUGAGAUGCUGGGUUAAGUCCCGCAACGAGCGCAACCCUUGUUGUUAAUUGCCAUCAUUAAGUUGGGGACUUUAGCAAGACUGCCAAUGAUAAAUUGGAGGAAGGUGGGGACGACGUCAAAUCAUCAUGCCCCUUAUGACCUGGGCUACAAACGUGAUACAAUGGCUGUUACAAAGGGUAGCUAAAGCGUAAGCUUCUGGCGAAUCUCAAAAAAGCAGUCUCAGUUCGGAUUGAAGUCUGCAACUCGACUUCAUGAAGUUGGAAUCGCUAGUAAUCGCGAAUCAGCAUGUCGCGGUGAAUACGUUCUCGGGGUUUGUACACACCGCCCGUCA